This 308-nucleotide ribosomal RNA is filed under the name Salmonella enterica subsp. enterica. Its description in RNAcentral is "partial 23S ribosomal RNA". It matches the Rfam family "Bacterial large subunit ribosomal RNA", at positions 1918 to 2225 of the family's 2925-position model. Lineage: Bacteria; Pseudomonadati; Pseudomonadota; Gammaproteobacteria; Enterobacterales; Enterobacteriaceae. The record is from RNAcentral.
CCCCGGUAAACGGCGGCCGUAACUAUAACGGUCCUAAGGUAGCGAAAUUCCUUGUCGGGUAAGUUCCGACCUGCACGAAUGGCGUAAUGAUGGCCAGGCUGUCUCCACCCGAGACUCAGUGAAAUUGAACUCGCUGUGAAGAUGCAGUGUACCCGCGGCAAGACGGAAAGACCCCGUGAACCUUUACUAUAGCUUGACACUGAACAUUGAGCCUUGAUGUGUAGGAUAGGUGGGAGGCUUUGAAGUGUGGACGCCAGUCUGCAUGGAGCCGACCUUGAAAUACCACCCUUUAAUGUUUGAUGUUCUAA